This is a long non-coding RNA of Homo sapiens (human), 1783 nucleotides long. Ensembl annotates it as KBTBD11 antisense RNA 1. Its record names the gene KBTBD11-AS1. NCBI's taxonomy places the organism in Eukaryota, Metazoa, Chordata, Mammalia, Primates, Hominidae. The record is from Ensembl.
GACUUUGGUUCACCCUCUUUUCAUGCUCCAGAAUGAGCCCCGCCUGAGAGGAGGGACCCCUGCGGAAUCCCGCCCAGACCGCCCGGGGGUCUCCCCAGCACAUGGGGCGGGGGCUGCAAGGGGCGCCCGGCAGGACUCGGGAGCCGCGGCGCGGUGGGGCGGAUUCCAGAAUUUUUUAAAGUUCACAACACGAGAGUGGACGAAAUGUCGGAGCUUUUGCUCAUAUCCAGAAAUGUGGCCUCUGCCUCCCACUCGGGCCCUGCGGUGCAGACGGGUUCAGGGCGGCGAGGACUGAGCCAGGAGCGCCGAGAGUUCCAGCUGCUCCCAGGCUGGGUUCUAAUUAACGCUGGACCCCUGCUGUCUUUGCCAGUUCCAUGCUGUAUACACAUAAUGAGCCGUUACAACUCCAGCACCAAAGCUAACGCCCCGGGAACAUCUUUAAAACCUUUUUCACUCUGUUGCCAAGAAGAGUAGUACCUGCUAGAUGGAGUCUCACUCUGUCGCCCAGGCUGGAAUGCAGUGGUGCAAUCUCGGCUCACUGCGAUCUCUGCGUCCUGGGUUCAAGCAAUUCUCCUGCCUCAGCCUCCCAAGUAGCUGUGACUACAGAGAAACGUGAACAGGCCAAACAAAGCCUCACCUGGCUAUCCCGCCACCCUGGGGUUGGGCCUCCAAAGGCCCGGGAGGUCACCUAAGACACGGUGUUCUGAACAUGCAAGCCCGACAGCAUCUUCUCUACCAUUCUGCCAGAGUCCAGAGACCUGGGAAUAGGUCAUACCCCCCACUGCAUUUUACAAGCUUGGCAUACAUUAGGUUCUCAAUAAAUACUGAAUUAAUGAAAAAAUUGCUGAAGUAACUGAAAACAUCCAUCCAAACCCCACACCAUCUGGUAGAUAAGUAGUCUGUGGGGAGUCCCAUAUUUUUCUUACCUUAGAUAUUUAUUUGGAAAUGGACUGUAGGCCCAAUAUGGUCAAUGAAACUUGCAGAGGAACAUUUCAUGCCUUUAAUUAGUUCUUCAUAACUGCAGGGACCUCUAGAGUUCCUGAAAUUGAACUGGGUUGUAAUACUGUCAAGAAAAAGGAGGACCUAUCUUAAAUCUAUUUCAAGGGUAAUACUAUUUUACUAUGUAAAUUUUCCCCUGGUCAGGGACAGCCUGAUCAUGCAUGGUAGACUCGAAGCAUGCAAAUAUUUCAACAUGCAAAACCGCCCUAAAAAUAUAACCGAAGCUUAUGGAGUUGUCCAGGGUACAGUGGUUUACUGGCCCCUGAAUGCGGGACUCCAUCAAACUGGGUUCCAGGCUGGGAGGUCUCUGAACCCAAUUUCUAGACAGCCUGCUUUGGAGUUCAACUGAUGGGACCUUAGACACCAGCCUUACCCUCUGCAAGUCUUGUGAUUUGGAGCCAGAUACUUGGCCUCUCUGUGCUCCAGGGAGACACCACUGCACCUACCUGAGAGGACUGAAGGAGAGGAUCUGUGCAACUCACUCAGGAUACUGGAUCUUAAGCCAAUGGGUGGACUUACAUUCGUCACCUCUGAUUCUGUCUCCUCCUGCGCGGUGACUUAGCAAACACUUCUUCCUCUCCAGCUCUGCUUCUUACUCUCCAGCUCUGCUGCCCUGUUCCAGUGCUGACGCCAGACAACAGAUAAUUUCCCAAAUGCUUGUAUUAGCCCUUAGGAGUUCAUGUGUUCCUCCCCCAGCCAAUAAAGCUGUUAAAUCCCAAUAACUGUCAGGAAUGGAGCCAAUUGCUAUAAAGUACUUCCAGCUUCUUGGCAUGAAGAAAUAAUU